CAGCCUGAUGCAGCCAUGCCGCGUGUGUGAAGAAGGCCUUCGGGUUGUAAAGCACUUUCAGUCGUGAGGAAGGUAGUGUAGUUAAUAGCUGCAUUAUUUGACGUUAGCGACAGAAGAAGCACCGGCUAACUCCGUGCCAGCAGCCGCGGUAAUACGGAGGGUGCGAGCGUUAAUCGGAAUUACUGGGCGUAAAGCGCAUGCAGGUGGUUUGUUAAGUCAGAUGUGAAAGCCCGGGGCUCAACCUCGGAAUAGCAUUUGAAACUGGCAGACUAGAGUACUGUAGAGGGGGGUAGAAUUUCAGGUGUAGCGGUGAAAUGCGUAGAGAUCUGAAGGAAUACCGGUGGCGAAGGCGGCCCCCUGGACAGAUACUGACACUCAGAUGCGAAAGCGUGGGGAGCAAACAGGAUUAGAUACCCUGGUAGUCCACGCCGUAAACGAUGUCUACUUGGAGGUUGUGGCCUUGAGCCGUGGCUUUCGGAGCUAACGCGUUAAGUAGACCGCCUGGGGAGUACGGUCGCAAGAUUAAAACUCAAAUGAAUUGACGGGGGCCCGCACAAGCGGUGGAGCAUGUGGUUUAAUUCGAUGCAACGCGAAGAACCUUACCUACUCUUGACAUCCAGAGAACUUUCCAGAGAUGGAUUGGUGCCUUCGGGAACUCUGAGACAGGUGCUGCAUGGCUGUCGUCAGCUCGUGUUGCGAAAUGUUGGGUUAAGUCCCGCAACGAGCGCAACCCUUAUCCUUGUUUGCCAGCGAGUAAUGUCGGGAACUCCAGGGAGACUGCCGGUGAUAAACCGGAGGAAGGUGGGGACGACGUCAAGUCAUCAUGGCCCUUACGAGUAGGGCUACACACGUGCUACAAUGGCGCAUACAGAGGGCGGCCAACUUGCGAAAGUGAGCGAAUCCCAAA
RNAcentral lists this ribosomal RNA (907 nucleotides) under uncultured bacterium. RNAcentral's name for it is "bacterial SSU rRNA". It matches the Rfam family "Bacterial small subunit ribosomal RNA", at positions 379 to 1278 of the family's 1533-position model. The record is from RNAcentral.